UGAUCAGAUGCUUCAGUGCUCUGAGAGUGUUUAUAGUGCUGUGAGUUUAACACUUCAUCACUGACACACACAACAAUCUUCAUCAACAUGACCUUCAUCAUCAUCUGGACGCUCUUAUACUGCUUUAUACUACAAGGCUGUAGAGCUCAGAUCACAGUGACUCAGACUCCUGCAGUGAAAACUGUCACACCAAGAGAAAAUGUUGAGAUGAGCUGUAAACUCAGUAGUAGUGCUGAUACCUGCAGCUCAGCAUACUGUGUGUCCUGGUACUUACAGAAACCUGGAGAAGCUCCUAAACUCCUGGUUUAUUAUACAAACAGCCUCCAGUCAGGAACUCCAUCUAGAUUCAGUGGCAGUGGAUCUAACAGUGAUUUCACUCUGACCAUCAGUGGAGUCCAGACUGAAGAUGCUGGACAUUAUUACUGUCUGAGUUAUCACUACAUCAACAGUAAAGAUGUGUUCACACAGUGAUAAAGAGUCGUACAAAAACCUCCGUCAGUCAGAGUCACAGUGACUGAACUGAUACUGCAGCUGCUCACACACUUUCACACACUUUCACACACACUCAACAGCAGAAGGUUUUCAAACACACAGAUCUAAAAUCUACAAAUGUUUCUUUCUCAUAAACUUUCAUCAAGUCAAGUCAGCAGACCAAACACAUCUGAAACCAGACAAAAUGGACCUGAUGGACUCAUAGAUUUCUGGUUUAUACUUCAUAGUAUUCAGUAGGU
This is a non-coding RNA of Megalobrama amblycephala (Wuchang bream), 731 nucleotides long. The record is from the annotation of a RefSeq genome assembly. NCBI's taxonomy places the organism in Eukaryota, Metazoa, Chordata, Actinopteri, Cypriniformes, Xenocyprididae.